UCCGCUAGGUGGAGAUGACAAAAAUGAAC
This 29-nucleotide non-coding RNA is filed under the name Homo sapiens (human). The record is from RNAcentral. Lineage: Eukaryota; Metazoa; Chordata; Mammalia; Primates; Hominidae.